CCAUCCGAGGCUCAAUGUUUAGAGCGUUUGACUUCUACUCAACAAUUUGCGGGUUUGAACCUCGGGUGGU
This 70-nucleotide transfer RNA is filed under the name Schistocephalus solidus. It matches the Rfam family "tRNA". From Rfam's summary of the family: Transfer RNA (tRNA) molecules are approximately 80 nucleotides in length. The record is from Rfam by way of RNAcentral. Lineage: Eukaryota; Metazoa; Platyhelminthes; Cestoda; Diphyllobothriidea; Diphyllobothriidae.